Tilletia controversa (dwarf bunt fungus) is the source of this 72-nucleotide non-coding RNA. Lineage: Eukaryota; Fungi; Basidiomycota; Exobasidiomycetes; Tilletiales; Tilletiaceae. The record is from Rfam.
GGCGUAGUGGCGCAAUGGCAGCGCUUUGCACUUCUAAUGCAAAGGUUGCGGGUUCGAGUCCCGCCUGGGCCC